RNAcentral lists this ribosomal RNA (208 nucleotides) under uncultured bacterium. Its description in RNAcentral is "partial 16S ribosomal RNA". It matches the Rfam family "Bacterial small subunit ribosomal RNA", at positions 568 to 774 of the family's 1533-position model. The record is from RNAcentral.
CGUGUAGGCGGACCUUCAAGUCGGGUGUGAAAACUGGCGGCUCAACUGCCAGCCUGCACUCGAUACUGUUGGUCUUGAGUACAGGAGAGGAAAGCGGAAUUCCAGGUGUAGCGGUGAAAUGCGUAGGAUAUCUGGAAGAACACCAGUAGCGAAGGCGGCUUUCUGGACUGAUACUGACGCUAAAGCGCGAAGGCUUGGGUAGCAAACA